RNAcentral lists this long non-coding RNA (295 nucleotides) under Chloebia gouldiae (Gouldian finch). RNAcentral describes it as "Erythrura gouldiae (Gouldian finch) lncRNA (ENSEGOG00005008601.1)". The record is from RNAcentral. Lineage: Eukaryota; Metazoa; Chordata; Aves; Passeriformes; Passeridae.
UUAUUUCUAUUGACUUAAAGAGCUUCCAUUGGUGGCUGCUUUGUGACAGAAGAAAAUGAAUUGGUGGGUCCCUCUGAAAUCCCUCUGGGCUGGUCCAGAUGCUGUAGGCUGACUGGUAGCUCCAGCACACAGGGUUGAACAACCUGCAGCCAGACGAGCUCCGGAGGUGGCUGGAGGUCAGCAGAGGGAUCACAUAGCCAAGAGCAGAGUGGGUUACAGGAGAAGGGCAGAGGGAAAAGGUGAGUGCUUUCUGGCAAUAAUCAGCUUUUAGCUGAAGUCAGCCAGUUUUAACUUA